RNAcentral lists this long non-coding RNA (743 nucleotides) under Triticum aestivum (bread wheat). RNAcentral describes it as "long non-coding RNA (TAES_LNC022401)". Lineage: Eukaryota; Viridiplantae; Streptophyta; Magnoliopsida; Poales; Poaceae. The record is from RNAcentral.
GAACAUGUGAGAAAGUUGCCAUCAGGUAAUUAGUCCACAUGGAAAACAUUCAGGUUAUUGCUACAAACAGAGUUGUCAUGGUUACGAAAAGCAAAAAAGGCAAUUAAGAAUAUUUUUGCAACCAAUGAAUUGCCAUGAACAUGCGCCUAAUUAAACAUGGAAGAACUCAACUCAAUCUCACAACAGAACAAAUCUAAAUCUAGGGUUACUGUAAAAACAGAACAAACAUUGCGCCGUGCCUCGGAUUUGAACCACGUGAUCCCUUUCAGAAGUCCAAUCCCAUAGUAGAUGCCCCCCUAGAUUGCUCCCAUCAACAACGAAUAACGACUCCAUUGAAGUUAAGCCGGCGACUAGGUGAGCACAAAAGGCGAGGCGCGGGUGAGACGUACCACGACUAGGAGAAUGAGAACUACUACCCUAACCAUCAACACGUCAGCGACUCACCGGCGACAUGGAAACGACGCCCCUAACACAUCCACCACGGAUUCGCCAUGGAUUCGCUGCCAAAAACAAAGAGAUUCAAGAGAGGGGAAGCGACAAAUGCAGGAUUCCAGAGUAGGAGAUUCGUGAGCGUUACCUUUGCACACUUCAAAAUCCACCAGUGACGGAGCGACUGAGAGUCCUCCUGGCGACGACAACUAGUCUCCGCGAGACUUCCGCCACGAUUUCGUCGGAGGUUGCCGCGGAAUCGCCUCAGUGUCAUCGCAGAAUCGCUCUCGGGUCGACGCAGAGUCAAGGAGAAG